GUGCUCGCUUCGGCAGCACAUGUACUAAAAUUGGAACGAUACAGAGAAGACGAGCAUGGCCCCUGCGCAAGGAUGACAUGCAAAUUCGUGAAGCGUUCCGUAUUUUA
Small nuclear RNA from Callithrix jacchus (white-tufted-ear marmoset), 107 nucleotides. The record is from Ensembl. Lineage: Eukaryota; Metazoa; Chordata; Mammalia; Primates; Cebidae.